This 1400-nucleotide ribosomal RNA is filed under the name metagenome. RNAcentral describes it as "SSU rRNA". It matches the Rfam family "Eukaryotic small subunit ribosomal RNA", at positions 5 to 1104 of the family's 1831-position model. The record is from RNAcentral.
UGGUUGAUUCUGCCAGUAGUCAUAUGCUUGUUUCAAGGACUAAGCCAUGCAUGCCUCAGAAUAACUGCAUCCUGCAGGAGUCUGCGCAUGGCUCAUUACAUCAGACGCAAUCUGCCGCAAAAAUGUAGCGGAAACGCUUAUUGGAUACCUUGUGCGAAACGCCAAGCUAAUACAUGAACAAGGGGCUUGACCCACCAACGGUGAGGCCUUCGGGCGGAUCCAGUGGUCGGCUCUGCAGAUGAAUGAAAUUAAAACUCAACGCCCGCAAGGGCAGUGUCACCUAGGAGUGCUGAAUCAAUUCAUCUUAGCGAAAGCUGGCUUGCCAGCGCUUUUUGACGAACAACUGCCCUAUCAGCCAGUGAUGGCCGUGUAGUGGACUGCCAUGGCGUUGACGGGAGCGGGGGAUUAGGGUUCGAUUCCGGAGAGGGAGCCUGAGAAAUGGCUACCACUUCUACGGAGGGCAGCAGGCGCGCAACUUGCCCAAUGCCAAAACAAAUGAUGAGGCAGCGAAAAGAAAUAGGUGCCCCAAACGCCUUGUGUGUUUGGGGCUUUCAAUGGGGGAUAUUUAAACCCAUCCAAUAUCGAGUAACAAUUGGAGGACAAGUCUGGUGCCAGCACCCGCGGUAAUUCCAGCUCCAAGAGCGUAUAUUAACGCUGUUGCUGUUAAAGGGUUCGUAGUUGAAUUGUGGAUCUGGAAGCCGAGGCUCCGUCCUUUGCCCACGUGCAUAGGAACACCUCGAUCCUUUUCCGAGAACGUCAGAAACUAAUAUCACGGGAGCGUUCCCAGCACCUUCGCGAGCAAUGCACGCAGCUGGGCGUCCGUGUUCAUUACUGUGACUAAAGAAGUGCGACCAAAGCAGUCCAUCGACAUGAAUUAGAAAGCAUGGGAUAACAAAGGAGCGUCCUACAGGCUACCGUUUAGGCUUUUGUUGGUUUUAAAGGUCAGUGGGAGAUUACGGGUCGGCAGGACCGGCGACUGGAGGUUCUUCCUCCUUCGCUUCCUCCUCGCAGUGGCUUGCCGCUGCGUGCGAGGCCUGCCGUGCUCAGGAAUGAAGGAGGGUUGCUCGGGGGAGAACGUACUUGAGCGUGAGAGGUGAAAUUCUUAGACCGCUCAAAGACGAACUACAGCGAAGGCAUUCUCCAAGGAUACCUUCCUCAAUCAAGAACCAAAGUGUGGAGAUCGAAGAUGAUUAGAGACCAUUGUAGUCCACACCACAAACGGUGACCCCCAUGAAUUGGGGAGUUUUCGCGGAGGUGGCGUCCGGCUCGUCCGGAUUGCCAUCCCGCGAUAAAGUAUUCAACUUACGUGCACGUUCCAUCCAGCCAGGAGGUAAAACUCCCGGCCUUGACGGGAACAUCCUCAGCACGUUCUCUUACUGUUUCACGCGAAAGCUUUGAGG